AUGUUUGUACCAGGGCCAUUGCAUGCUGCAGUUGCCUGGGCCCAGCCUACCUGCCUGCCUGGGUGGUGCUCUCCCAGCUCCAGCCACACCUGGCAAGGCUGUCUGCAACGUGUGAGGAUUUCACCAGGGAAAAACAAGAAUCGCUGGCUGCUGUGCAGAAUCUUGUUCUGGUUAUUACCACCACCGGAGUCACAAGAUCAUCACUCAGGCCAGUGGCAAUCUGCUGAAAACAAAGGGUUCCUUAAUGGCCGAGAUAAGCAGAUAAAGCACUGCUGCGCUAUUUAAAGCACAGUAUUCAUGCCUGAAUAAAGUUACUCCAAUUUUGGAGCAGAGUGUUUGCUGGGAAAGCUGUACUUACAUUCCACCCCAGGGACUCAAGCGCCUUUGCACACUUUCAUGUAUCUCCUUUCUUCAAAGUCAGAUGUUUCACCUACAGCUUAAUUCCUGCCUACAAUUACAGUAGGCAGCUCCCUUCAGUCCUUUUGUAGCUUUUUUUUGAUAAACAGUGGUGGUAGGCACAGAGGUGGCUACGAGCUAUGUCUGCACUUCGUUACCUCACUCAAAAGAAAUGUUGUGUGCUUUGGGACAGCCCUGUGAGUUAGGAAAAUGGUGUUUUACAGCUGGGGAAGACAGACAAAGAGUGGGUGAGCACCUUUUCCAGGAUCCCACGGGACGCUGGCAGCACAGAGUUGUAUUUCUGUCUAGUGCCCUAACCACUGAUCCGUCCUGUCUCCUGCUUUGGGGCGAGAGAGUCUGAAAAUGCCAUUGAUUUGCACUUUCUACUUCUGGGGAAGAAAGGUAGGGCUGACUAGAUUAUACAGGGAGACAUGCAAAAAUAAACAGAAGACAAUAAACGGCAUGAUGUAAAUUAGCUUUGUAGAACUCUAAUAAUAUUAAGAUGUUAUUUAGAACACAGAGGCAAGGAGAUGUCUGUUAAAAAAAAAAAAAGAAAGAUAUGAUUUUAACCAGAUAAAAUCCCUUUAAUUAGUCUGAAAUUCUUGCCUAUGUUUUAUAGCAACACACUUCCAUAUGCAUGCCAGAAAGUCGGGGAAACAUGGAAAUCAUUGUCAAUUUGCAGCAUUCACUACUGGGAUACAGCAGAUUAUUUCAAUGAAGGCUAGAUAAACUUUGUGUCUGUAGAAAACACUUGUUUGGUGGUCUCUUUGCUUUGUCAUCUUCCACUGCACAUCUGGUUUGGGAAGGAAUGAAAGGGCCUAUGCUCGAAAAGCAGGUUGCUUAUAUGAUGCAAUAUUUAAAUUAUUUCUGUUUUUCAGAAGUCUGGAAAAGUAAUUGUUGUCUUGGUUAUAUUGGUUACAAACUGAACCUCACUUCUUGUUAUGGAUGACCUUGGACCAUGAUGGAAAGCAGUAUUCUCCAAACUAGAGAUGUUUGCCCUCACUG
RNAcentral lists this long non-coding RNA (1401 nucleotides) under Ficedula albicollis (Collared flycatcher). RNAcentral describes it as "lncRNA (ENSFALG00000026240.1)". The record is from RNAcentral. Lineage: Eukaryota; Metazoa; Chordata; Aves; Passeriformes; Muscicapidae.